AUAAAUUCCCAUCAGACUCGAGCAUUAGUCAUUCCCACAGACUGAAGCUGCGCUAUCAAGCGUCAUGCCGGGGAUCACACGUCGGCCCAGCGCCGCCGGAGGGAAGAGACUCACUCAGCACCAGACUGUCUUUGUUUAGCUCUUACAGACAAUGUGGUGUUCAAGCAUGGACGAGAUAAUCAAGGAGGCGCUCUGACGAGGCUGCAGAUGAGAAAAUCAUAAGGGAGGCCAAACAAAGUAGUUUCACAACGAAACACACAGCGUCACACAUGGUGGGCUUGAGAAUGGCGCCGCCGGCGGAUUCAUUGAAGGAGCGGAUGGUGGGCUUGCGGCAACCACACGUGAUGACCCCGGGCUUGACUCGUCCACAGUGAAAGCCGAUCCGGCGAUCCACAGUGCAAAGUUGAUGUAUUUCCUCAGCGACCAACACGGAUCAGCUCCAGGCAUGAUGAAGUGGAUAUCGUCCUCUUUUGGAAGGCCAAAAAAAGUAGUUUACACUUUCACAAUGAAACACAACAUCUAUGCGACAUGGCGGCGGCAACAACAAUACUACAGCGAGAAUCAAAGUUAUGCCUUAUUUCUUUGCAUGAACAUUUGGGCGGUGUUAUGCAAAUCUUCCCACACAGUCACGUAGACAUAUGAUGGUGUGUUUAAACGAGGUGUUUUAGGAGGGUGUGGUUGACUCUUAACUUUUAUAAAGAAUAUCUCUUUGGAUUUGAGACUUUAGUCUUUGCAACUUUACAGAUCUUCUUUAUGCACCAAGAGCUUGUAACACUCCAAAGAGAAAGGAAGAGUUGAAAUCGCAUCAUAUGACCCCUUUAAAUUCCCAGUGAAAGACUACACUACCCAUAAUCCUCAAGCGAGAUGCAUUAAUUUCUCAUUAUUACCAUGGCAACUGGAACGGCACAAAAUAAAUAAAUAAAUAAACAGAUAAAAUAAAAUAAAUAAAUAAUUGUGUGUAAUUAUAUUAAGAGUUUUAUAUUGUAUAACUGUUUCUGAUUUGAUAUUGUCAUUGGCAGUGCUCCUAGGGAUUAAAGUUCAUUCUGACAAGUUCAGUUUUUAUUUAUUUAUUUUUUUAUAUACUUUUUUGUUUUAAAUGAAAAUGUGCAGUAUUUUGAUUUAUCU
Long non-coding RNA from Cyprinus carpio carpio, 1125 nucleotides. NCBI's taxonomy places the organism in Eukaryota, Metazoa, Chordata, Actinopteri, Cypriniformes, Cyprinidae. The record is from Ensembl.